ACAAAGGACAUUUUGAGUUUCUUGGGUUAGCUGAGACUGAAGAUCAUUUUAUCAUCAUGUGGAGGUUUUUCUUGACAAUAACAUCAAGAUGCUUCUCAAUAUCAACAAGCAACAGAGCACUUAAAUGAUGGGAUCAUGUAGCUUCUGCUCCAAAAAAUCCCAUUACUAGUGUCACUGAGGCUUUUAUUGCUGACACUAGUCCCACGAAGAUCAAUCUUGGAGUGGGAGCUUGUAGGGAUGAUGAAGGGAAACCUGUUAUCCUUCAAUGUGUUAGAGAGGCCGGGGCCAAGAUUACUGGUUGUGACUUCUUGUGAGUUUCAUUUUCUUAAUUUACUUAAUAGUGUAAUUUCUUGGUAUUCAUCAGAAUACUACCUAUAUGUUUGAUGUGUUUUCUUACAAUGAUAUCUUUUAGAAACCCCAGCUCUAAUUAGCAAGAAGAGAGCUUGGCUUUUAACAUACAUUUUCUUUUUGUCCAGAGCUUCUCUGUAAUUUGGAAGUUCAUAAUUUGCUGUUUCUUUGUAAUGUUGCCCUUGUUUCUAGCAUGAACAGUUCAUUUUAGGGUCAUUACAUAUCUAACUUCAAAAUGACAAUUUCAGCAUUUUAAUGCCCUAGAUCAUGGCUGUUCUGAAAUGGGAAUUAUUUAUGGUAAUUAUGGUGCCAUCGAAUUGAUCUAAUUUUGUAUUUCAAUCUGUUUGUAUAAGUAAACUGUUAAUUGUAAAAAGAAGAGACAAAAUGUGGAUUUGAUUUAUUCUUGCUGCUCAAAUAUUUUAGACAAAGUUUACAGAGAAAUGGUUAGUCAUGCUUCCCGCAUAUUACAAAUAAAUUCAUUCAAUUGCCAAAACCAUUUGUUGAAAGCAAAUUUUAUCCUUAACGAACUCCUCUCUGCUACUGAAUCUUUUAUGGCCUCAACUUUUUAGAGGUACUGGCAGGGAGUCGGUAUCCUCUGCAGUGAGUUCAAAACUAGUUUCCGGUAGUGUCAAAUCGGUUAAUGGAAAGAAUUCGGAUGUUAUAAAAGAAGGGAGAUUUGCUGGAAUUCAAUUUCUGUCAGGAACUGGUGAUUGUAGUCUCUUUGCCGAGUUCCAGAAGCAUUGAUGUCCUAAAUCUCCAAUGUAUUUGCCUGAUCCCACUUGGUCCUAGCAAGUUUGUUUGGUAUCUUCAGUAAUUUCUCAGUGAUGAUGUGUGUACAUAUCCGUAGCAUGGCAUGC
Molecule: long non-coding RNA, 1205 nt
Organism: Populus euphratica (Euphrates poplar)
Lineage: Eukaryota; Viridiplantae; Streptophyta; Magnoliopsida; Malpighiales; Salicaceae
Exons: 3
Source: RefSeq, a predicted model, not a curated record